This 67-nucleotide transfer RNA is filed under the name Camelus bactrianus (Bactrian camel). It matches the Rfam family "tRNA", at positions 5 to 66 of the family's 71-position model. Rfam says of the family: Transfer RNA (tRNA) molecules are approximately 80 nucleotides in length. Their secondary structure includes four short double-helical elements and three loops (D, anti-codon, and T loops). Further hydrogen bonds mediate the characteristic L-shaped molecular structure. tRNAs have two regions of fundamental functional importance: the anti-codon, which is responsible for specific mRNA codon recognition, and the 3' end, to which the tRNAs corresponding amino acid is attached (by aminoacyl-tRNA synthetases). tRNAs cope with the degeneracy of the genetic code in two manners: having more than one tRNA (with a specific anti-codon) for a particular amino acid; and 'wobble' base-pairing, i.e. permitting non-standard base-pairing at the 3rd anti-codon position. Lineage: Eukaryota; Metazoa; Chordata; Mammalia; Artiodactyla; Camelidae. The record is from Rfam by way of RNAcentral. RNAcentral also lists the same sequence under 2 other names.
GUAUAGCUCAGUGGUAGAGUGUGUGCUUGGCAUGCAUGAGGUCCUGGGUUCAGUCCCCACCCAGUGC